AGAUUUGUGGUUGGUUUAUGUGGAUGUUCUGUUUCAUUUGAUUCUUCUUUACGAGCUAGAUGUCGACUUAACACACCAUAUGAAUUUUUCUGCCAAAGAAGUUUGAAUUAUCUGCAAAAGUAAAACCAGCUUGAAUGUAAAAGUCCAAAACGAUGCAGCGAAACGCAUUAUCAUAUUGACGAUUCAACAGGAAAAUGGCCGUCUCAGUUUCACUCUAUUCACGUUGAAAGAAGUUUGGCCAGCAAAGGAAUAACCAGGAAUUCUGCACAGAUCAAGGACACAAUGGUAAAAGUAGACAUUGAUACACGUAAAUUUCAUCAGAAAGAAUAUACUGAAAUCUACGAUAUUAACUGGUUAGAUUUAUUAUGGAAAGUUGGAGGUUUAUCAGCUAUUUUAAUUGGAAUGUCGGUAAUUACAGUACUAGAGAUAAUCUGGUUAAUAGGAAGAUGUUUCGUUUCAUGUUGUACAGCAAUAAGUAAAAACGAUCCACACCAUCUUAAAAUACAGAUAGAAGCAGAGACUCGGUCAACCUGGACAAACAAUCAUCAACUUACACGUGAGACUAAUAGACAAGAACCACCAGCCCUACCCCGACGACCGUCUCAUCAUCGGAUGCCAAAUAUGCUGCGACCAAUUAUAGAAGAGGUUCCGCCAGUGACAAAUCCGAAUGUUUUAAUAACCAACGAUGAUUACGAUGACAUUGAUCACAUUUAUGCACAGGUCUGGGAUCCGGCGUCUACAGCGCGAUCUAAUAUUCUCCCGGACAACAACGUAAAUGCCGUAACAAACCAACUCUCAAGAAAACGCAGUAAUUACAAUAUCAAAGUUACAAAUAAACCUGUUGCUGAGUGAUACACUUGGGACAGGAGCAAAGCCGAGUGAACUGACAAAGCUGAUAAACAAAGUGCAUCGUGAUGGUAUUCUAUACACAGCUCCCACUAUAAGGCUACUAAAUAUUCGGUCAGUAUCUGUUAAAGGAGCUAAAUCUAUAUUCUUUGGAACAUAAAAUGGACGAAAAUGGGUAUUAAUGUAAUAUGAAUGUACAUAAACUGUUUUUGUCAUUUCUAAUAGUCUAAUUGAAUGGCAGUCGGUCGCGCCUGGUUAGUCUAUUCUACAUCAGAAGUAUGGUUUGGCAUUUCAAUUAAGCUCUGAUGUUUAACCUCGUUCAGCAAGACGCCUCAUCACAAAUCGGGCUCAAGAGCAUAGAUUACCGGCGUGUACUGGUUUUAAAAUUAUUCACUGGUGUCUUAAAUAUUUUGUAUCAGGAGCCCAUAUUUUCACGUUAAGAUAACAACAU
Molecule: long non-coding RNA, 1297 nt
Organism: Patella vulgata (common limpet)
Lineage: Eukaryota; Metazoa; Mollusca; Gastropoda; Patellidae
Exons: 8
Source: RefSeq, a predicted model, not a curated record